This 70-nucleotide non-coding RNA is filed under the name Rosa chinensis. Lineage: Eukaryota; Viridiplantae; Streptophyta; Magnoliopsida; Rosales; Rosaceae. The record is from RNAcentral.
UUGAGCCGUACGAGAUGAAAUUUUCAUAUACGGUUCUCGGGGGGGGUCUCCUUGGUUUACCUAUCUCAAU